CCUUCGGGAGCUUGUACAGGUGCUGCAUGGCUGUCGUCAGCUCGUGUCGUGAGAUGUUCGGUUAAGUCCGCUAACGAGCGCAACCCUCGCUGUGUGUUACAAGUGUCACACGGAACUGCCGGUCAUAAACCGGAGGAAGGUGGGGAUGACGUCAAGUCAGCAUGGCCUUUAUAUCCUGGGCUACACACACGCUACAAUGGGAAGGGACAAUAGGUUGCGAAGCCGCGAGGCGGAGCCAAUCCAGCAAAACUUCCCUCAGUUCAGAUUGCAGGCUGCAACUCGCCUGCAUGAAGUUGGAGUUGCUAGUAAACGCAGGUCAGCCAUACUGCGUUGAAUACGUUCCCGGGGCUU
RNAcentral lists this ribosomal RNA (351 nucleotides) under uncultured Anaerolineaceae bacterium. Its description in RNAcentral is "bacterial SSU rRNA". It matches the Rfam family "Bacterial small subunit ribosomal RNA", at positions 1017 to 1382 of the family's 1533-position model. The record is from RNAcentral. Lineage: Bacteria; Bacillati; Chloroflexota; Anaerolineae; Anaerolineales; Anaerolineaceae.